ACGCUGACACCUACGGGGGCAGCAGUGGGGAAUAUUGCACAAUGGGGGAAACCCGUGAUGCAGCGAUGCCGCGUGAAGGAAGAAGUAUCUCGGUAUGUAAACUUCUAUCAGCAGGGAAGAAAAUGACGGUACCUGACUAAGAAGCCCCGGCUAACUACGUGCCAGCAGCGCGGUAAUCUGAGCGGGCUGGCAAGGC
Molecule: ribosomal RNA, 196 nt
Filed under: uncultured bacterium
Lineage: Bacteria
Description: partial 16S ribosomal RNA
Rfam family: Bacterial small subunit ribosomal RNA
Source: RNAcentral